This 794-nucleotide long non-coding RNA is filed under the name Phoenix dactylifera (date palm). RNAcentral's name for it is "long non-coding RNA (PDAC_LNC018053)". The record is from RNAcentral. Lineage: Eukaryota; Viridiplantae; Streptophyta; Magnoliopsida; Arecales; Arecaceae.
CGAGUCGACCCCAGACAACGUAAAAAGUAAAAUCUUGUAGCCGAGACGUCUCUCGUUGAAGCGGAGACGUCCCCGGAGCGCCUGGGACGCGACUGACAGCUUUUCAGGUUUGGUUUGAAUUUCAAAUCCUUUUUACUUUGUCUCUAACGGCUAUAUUUGCUUUUUGGGCUAUAAAAGGGACCUCUUAAGUGCUUCUCAACAACUCUUCACUAACCCAAAGCUAGAUCAUUCAAAAGAGAAGUAAGAAAGAAAAGUUCAAGGGAGUGAGUGCAUUCAAGUGAAGAAAUCAAGUGUUUUCAAGCUUCCCAAGUGAUUUCAAGCUCAACCACUCUCGUGCGUUUGGGAUUCAAAGCUCACACUCAAUCCUACGCGCUCCACAUCGGAAGAAUCAAUAUCUCCCACGCUUCCAACGGCAAAAGGAUUCUUUCGGGUUCUAUUGUUCAUAAUUGCAAUAUUUGCUUUUUAGAGCUUUUCCUUUCUUUUGUAAACUCUUUCGUUGUGGUGCUUGUUCCAGUCAAGGGACUUGGAACAAGGGAAAGGCAUCCCAAGCCUAAGUGAAAUUGGGGGUUUUAGGGUUUGUUGUGAGCUCGGUGUAAAACAACGAGUUGGGUAGUGAACUCGCAAAACUACCGUACUGUAAUCGUGGAUUAUAGUGAAAAUUCCCAAAGGUGAUUUGGGGAGUGGAUGUAGGAGCAGUGGAAGCUUCGAACCACUAUAAAACCUUGUGUUUGCGAUUGACCUUUCUCAUUCCUCCUUCUUUACUUUAGUGCAUAUAUUCGUGUGUUUUAUUUUUA